Molecule: ribosomal RNA, 550 nt
Filed under: Nakazawaea ishiwadae
Lineage: Eukaryota; Fungi; Ascomycota; Pichiomycetes; Alaninales; Pachysolenaceae
Description: partial large subunit ribosomal RNA
Rfam family: Eukaryotic large subunit ribosomal RNA
Source: RNAcentral
AAACCAACAGGGAUUGCCUUAGUAACGGCGAGUGAAGCGGCAAAAGCUCAAAUUUGAAAUCUAGCACUUUCAGUGUUCGAGUUGUAAUUUGAAGAAGGUAUCUUUGGAGUUGGCCCCUGUCUAUGUUCCUUGGAACAGGACGUCACAGAGGGUGAGAAUCCCGUGCGAUGGGGAGACCAAUUCUAUGUAAAGUUCCUUCGAAGAGUCGAGUUGUUUGGGAAUGCAGCUCUAAGUGGGUGGUAAAUUCCAUCUAAAGCUAAAUAUUGGCGAGAGACCGAUAGCGAACAAGUACAGUGAUGGAAAGAUGAAAAGAACUUUGAAAAGAGAGUGAAAAAGUACGUGAAAUUGUUGAAAGGGAAGGACUUUUGAUCAGACUUGGUGUUUAGUACUCUCUACUCCUUGUGGGUGGGGCUCUUGCUUUAUACUGGGCCAGCAUCGGUUUGGGUGGCAGGAUAAUGGCAUUGGAAUGUGGCUUCAUUCGUGGAGUGUUAUAGCCUUUGUUGAUACUGCCUAUCUAGACCGAGGACUGCGUCUUUGACUAGGAUGCUGC